UACGGAGGAUGCAAGCGUUAUCCGGAUUUAUUGGGUUUAAAGGGUGCGCAGGUUGUUUGAUAAGUCAGUGGUGAAAGUCUGUCGCUUAACGGUAGGAUUGCCAUUGAUACUGUUGGACUUGAAUAUGGAUGAGGUAGGCGGAAUGUGUAGUGUAGCGGUGAAAUGCAUAGAUAUUACACAGAACACCGAUUGCGAAGGCAGCUUACUAAUCAAUCAUUGACGCUGAGGCACGAAAGCGUGGGGAUCAAACAGGA
This 254-nucleotide ribosomal RNA is filed under the name uncultured prokaryote. Its description in RNAcentral is "partial 16S ribosomal RNA". It matches the Rfam family "Bacterial small subunit ribosomal RNA", at positions 524 to 777 of the family's 1533-position model. The record is from RNAcentral.